GGCAGUGUGGUGCAGUGGCUAGCAUCCUCUUUCAUAGUUCUUCUCGAGAGAGUCUUUGGUUCAACUCCAACGCUGUCA
This 78-nucleotide transfer RNA is filed under the name Dendrothele bispora CBS 962.96. RNAcentral describes it as "tRNA-Tyr". Lineage: Eukaryota; Fungi; Basidiomycota; Agaricomycetes; Agaricales. The record is from RNAcentral.